UACAGAGGUCUCAAGCGUUGUUCGGAUUCAUUGGGCGUAAAGGGUGCGUAGGCGGCGCGGUAAGUCGGGUGUGAAAUUUCGAGGCUUAACUUCGAAACUGCAUUCGAUACUGCCGUGCUUGAGGACUGGAGAGGAGACUGGAAUUUACGGUGUAGCGGUGAAAUGCGUAGAUAUCAGGAGGAACACCGAUGGCGAAGGCAGGUCUCUGGGCUGACACUGACGCUCAUGCACGAAAGCGUGGGGAGCAAACAGG
RNAcentral lists this ribosomal RNA (253 nucleotides) under uncultured bacterium. Its description in RNAcentral is "partial 16S ribosomal RNA". It matches the Rfam family "Bacterial small subunit ribosomal RNA", at positions 524 to 776 of the family's 1533-position model. The record is from RNAcentral.